GACCUCUCCUCCUUGGGGCUUUGGGGGUCUCUUUCCCCUUUGGCCAGAAGAGGCGGCCCAGAUGAGCCUGGAGGGUCACCGUGGGGCCGCUGUGAUCAGGGAGCCCCGACAUGCCCAGCAUCUGGCAGGC
Molecule: non-coding RNA, 130 nt
Organism: Echinops telfairi (small Madagascar hedgehog)
Lineage: Eukaryota; Metazoa; Chordata; Mammalia; Afrosoricida; Tenrecidae
Source: RefSeq, a predicted model, not a curated record